This 775-nucleotide non-coding RNA is filed under the name Epipedocera atra. Lineage: Eukaryota; Metazoa; Arthropoda; Insecta; Coleoptera; Cerambycidae. The record is from RNAcentral.
CAAAAGUUUUAUUUUGGCUUAAGAAUUAGGUUUAAAUUUAUUUUACAUGCAAAUUUAAGUAGGAAAAGGAAAAAAUUUAAAUAGUUUUUUAGUUUCGUUCGCAGUGGAUAGAAUUAAUUAUUAAAGAAAUUUAGAAUUAGGAAUUUUUAAUUAAUAUUAACAAAAUUUGUGCCAGCAGUUGCGGUUACACAGAUAAUAUUACUUAAUUUUUUUGGAUUCAGUAAUCUUAUAGAAAAACUUUGUUUCAUAGAUUUUAAGGUGAAAUUUAAAUUUAAAGGAAAAGUUACAUAAAAUUAGAUAUUCUGGGAAAUUUUUAAUUAAACUAGGAUUAGAUACCCUAUUAUUUAAAAUGUAAAUGUUUUGAUUCCAUGGGAGUAGUAGUUAUGAUCUUGAAAUUAAAAAAAUUUGGCGGUAUUUUAGUCUAUUCAGAGGAACCUGUCCUGUAAUCGAUGGUCCACGAUAAUAAUGACUUUUUCUUUAAGUUUGCAUAUCGUCGUGGUUUGAAUAUUUUUAGAGGAGAUAAAUGUUCAGAAUUCUUUUUAAGGGGAAAGUCAGAUCAAGGUGUAGUUUAUGAAAAAGGAGAGAUGGGUUACAUUAAAUUUAUUUGGGGAUAAUUCAGUUUAAAUGGGAUUAGAAUUUGGAUUUGAAAGUAAUUUAAAUUAUUUUAUUUAAAUGAUUUUAGCUCUAAAAUAUGCACAUAUCGCCCGUCGCUUUCACUUUAAAGUGAAAUAAGUCGUAACAAAGUAGGCUUACUGGAAGGUGAGCCUAGAAAGAC